UGCCUAUUAAACUUCCCGCUCCUUAAAAC
RNAcentral lists this non-coding RNA (29 nucleotides) under Homo sapiens (human). The record is from RNAcentral. Lineage: Eukaryota; Metazoa; Chordata; Mammalia; Primates; Hominidae.